ACUAAUCGAGAGGCGACACGUGGAUUUUUGGAUGAAAAUGACAAAAUUACCCUCGAGGCACAUCAGGAUUCCUACGUGCGAGCAAUGGACAAUCAUCCCUCAAUCAAGUCAAAGGUGCCCAGAAUGGGUAACAAAUUCAAAGUUAUUUUAUCCAUCCUCAUCCUAUAUUUCCCACAGGGUAAUUAUUUUAUAACCUUCAAAACAUUCCAUAUAAAUUGAGUUAAUUGGCUAAUUAAUGGAUUUAUUCCUAAUUAAUCCAUUAAUUACUAAUUAAAUCACUCAUUUCACACAAAAAUACCCCAAAGGGCCAGCCACCUUUUCUCAAAAGGGGGACCGGCCAUGCUCUAUAUAUUGAACCACAUUUUCUCUAAAAAACUAGUUCCAACACUCUUGCAAAACUCCCAAAAACUCUCUAACACUUUUCUCUCUAAAUUCUAACUUUGGCAUCGAAGGUUCUUCGGCCAAAGCCCCCCCUUCAUCGUGGGCGCGUGAGGCUUUUGGCCUUAACCAAAGGUGUUAGUUGUUUUGUAGGUGCAAUUUUGUCCAAGAUCAAGGAGGAAGAAAUUUGCAUCCACAAAUUGGUGCUUUUAUUGAGAGUUGAGUCCCACACUCGUAGAAGACUCUUGCAUCCAAGGUUUUCUAUUUUCUUGUCCAUUUGUAGAUUUUUUGUACGUUCUUAUUUUUAGAUUUUUUUUAUUUCCAAAAAUUCUUUGAUAAAACGUAAAAGAGAAGUACAAUGACUAGAAAUUUAGAAAAUUCAACAAGUGAAAAUUCAAAUAUUCAAGAGAUGGGACUGCGGAGAUCCACGAAGCUAAAUGUGAUAAUAAGUGGAGUGGCAUCACCACCAUAAAGCUCCACCAUGUCAACCACCGUUAUGGCCACCACGGCCCGAGUCGUGCCCUCCAAGGCUCACGGCACCAAGGCCACGG
This 929-nucleotide long non-coding RNA is filed under the name Malus domestica (apple). Its description in RNAcentral is "long non-coding RNA (MDOM_LNC015742)". The record is from RNAcentral. Lineage: Eukaryota; Viridiplantae; Streptophyta; Magnoliopsida; Rosales; Rosaceae.